Molecule: ribosomal RNA, 685 nt
Filed under: Dicephalospora huangshanica
Lineage: Eukaryota; Fungi; Ascomycota; Leotiomycetes; Helotiales; Helotiaceae
Description: SSU rRNA
Rfam family: Bacterial small subunit ribosomal RNA
Source: RNAcentral
AUAAUGAUUAUGACAAUGUUCUAUUCUAUAUGUCUUGACCAAAUUACGUGCCAGCAGUCGCGGCAAUACGUAAAAGACUAGUGUUAUUCAUCUUUAGUAGGUUUAAAGGGUACCUAGACGGUAUAAUUAGUCUUAAACAGGAUACGGUUAUACUAGAGUUAUAUAUGAGGAGGGGAGUAUUUAUGGAGUAGAGUUGAAAUUCUUUGAUACCAUAACGACUGGUAACGGCGAAAGCAACCUUUUAUCUAAUAACUGACGUUGAGGGACGAAGGCUCGGGUCACGAACAGGAUUAGAUACCCUAGUAGUCCAAGCAGAGAAUGAUGAAUGCCAUAGGUUAGAUAUUUAUUUAGUCUAUAAAUGAAAGUGUAAGCAUUUCACCUCAAGAGUAAUGUGGCAACGCAGGAACUGAAAUCAUUAGGCCGUUUACUGAAACCAGUAGUGAAGUAUGUUAUUUAAUUCGUAGGUACGCGAAAAACCUUACCACAACUUGAAUAUUAUCGAAAUAAGAUAUUACAAGCGUUGCACGGCUGUCUAUCAGUUAAUGUCGUGAGAUAUUGGUUAACUCCAUUAAUUAACGGAAACCCUUGCUUUAGUUGCGAUUUAAAUAAUUAAAGCAGAGCACUAUUACAUAAAAUAGGAUAAUAGGGAUCAAGACAAGUCAUCAUGGCCUAAAUGUUGUGGCUA